Antechinus flavipes (yellow-footed antechinus) is the source of this 546-nucleotide long non-coding RNA. RefSeq lists it as uncharacterized. The transcript is spliced from 4 exons. The record is from RefSeq and is a predicted model, not a curated record. NCBI's taxonomy places the organism in Eukaryota, Metazoa, Chordata, Mammalia, Dasyuromorphia, Dasyuridae.
UCCUAUGGUCUUGGAGACUGUUUGUUGCGGUACAGGUGUGGACUUGGAGACUGUAUAUUCAGAUUCAAGAACACCUGUGAUGGGUUCAGUCAUUUAUAAUUUUCACACUUAAAAAUCCUACCUUUGCUAUAAGCAAGUCCCUCUUUUUAGGAAGGAGAACUUUACUUCAAGAUUAGAGGUUAAUCCAGUCCAGUUGACAUUAAUUGGUGACAGGAGUGGGAUUGGACACAGAACCAGGCCAUUGAACUCUCGGGUACUAAUAGUAACAGACAAAGUGCUACUUCUUCAGAAUCCACCUCCAUUUGUCUGAGACAAUUGUCUGAAUAGUCAUGAAGCCAACAGUAGAAAAUGGCAUACCUUGCAGUCUGUGAACUGGCAAAAGUGGAUGUCUAUGACUGGGAAAAGUUUUGGGGAUAUCUUUAGUAUGGCCUAAGUCUCUUCAUGAUAUCACAUCUUCCCAAGCAGGCUGAAAAACUUUCACCAUCUAUAUCCAAUUAGCCACCAAAACUAUCUCAGGAUGAGGAGGAGGAGGAGGAGGAGGAGGAA